AAUAACUUUAUUUUUCGUUUUUCCGUGUCCAACUUUUGACCAUUUUUCUUAUUUGAAUUUUUUUAAGAUUAAUAUUUUUAUUAUUACUAGAUGAUAAAAUAUGAAUAGUACUUUAUACGUGACUAAUUUUUUUAAGUUUUUGUACAAAUUUUUCAAAUAAGACGAAUGGUCAAAUGCUGGACACGGAAAAAUGAGAUUAUU
Molecule: non-coding RNA, 201 nt
Organism: Oryza brachyantha (malo sina)
Lineage: Eukaryota; Viridiplantae; Streptophyta; Magnoliopsida; Poales; Poaceae
Source: Rfam